RNAcentral lists this ribosomal RNA (255 nucleotides) under uncultured bacterium. RNAcentral describes it as "partial 16S ribosomal RNA". It matches the Rfam family "Bacterial small subunit ribosomal RNA", at positions 524 to 777 of the family's 1533-position model. The record is from RNAcentral.
UACGUAGGGUGCGAGCGUUGUCCGGAAUUAUUGGGCGUAAAGAGCUUGUAGGCGGUUUGUCGCGUCUGCUGUGAAAUCUCAAGGCUCAACCUUGAGCUUGCAGUGGGUACGGGCAGACUAGAGUGUGGUAGGGGAGACUGGAAUUCCUGGUGUAGCGGUGAAAUGCGUAGAUAUCUGGAGGAAUACCGGUGGCGAAGGCGGCAUCCUGGACCGACAUUGACGCUGAACGGCGAAAAGCUAGGGGAGCAAACGGGG